This 305-nucleotide ribosomal RNA is filed under the name uncultured bacterium. RNAcentral's name for it is "bacterial SSU rRNA". It matches the Rfam family "Bacterial small subunit ribosomal RNA", at positions 333 to 638 of the family's 1533-position model. The record is from RNAcentral.
GAUUGCCUACGGGGCGCAGCAGUGGGGAAUAUUGCACAAUGGGGGAAACCCUGAUGCAGCGACGCCGCGUGAGUGAAGAAGUAUUUCGGUACGUAAAGCUCUAUCAGCAGGGAAGAAAUAAAGUCCUUUGGACUUUGGACGGUACCUGACUAAGAAGCCCCGGCUAACUACGUGUCAGCAGCCGCGGUAAUACGUAGGGGGCAAGCGUUAUCCGGAUUUACUGGGUGUAAAGGGAGCGUAGGCGGCAAGGUAAGCCAGAAGUGAAAGCCCGCGGCUCAACUGCGGGACUGCUUUUGGAACUAUCU